UCUUUUGGCUUAGCUUUAGAUUUCAUUUCAAGUUUUCAAUUUUAUUUUUAACCGUUAAUAUUUUUUUGAUUGAAAUGGCCAAUUCAUUGAUUUAUGAACAUUUUUUAUAUUCAAGUGAAUUCUAUUCAUGUGUAUUAACGUAAAACUCUGUGAUAAAUCAACAAAAAUGUUAAUCUUUUUUGACUUACAACCCUUCAAAGUGAUAAACUACGCACUAGACAUGGAUACACAUGGAUUAUUAUUUAUGUUUACUUUUCCAGUUUUAUAGAUUACAUUUCAACAGUUUAACAUUUUUUUAUUUAUUGGGCUGGUUGAUGAUUUGAUCCUUUCAUUUAAUGGUAGAUUGGUUAACAAAUUAACUGGAGAAACCAAUUUGUGAAUUAGACUGGCUUUUAAAAUACGAUUCCAAUUGGUUCCAUUAUACAUUAAUCGAUUUUAAAUUGCUCUUGAUUUCAAAUGGUUAUUCAAAUGAAAGUGGUUACUCUGUUGCUCGCAUUAUAUUUUUCAUGUUAAUCACUCUCUCGUUUGGUCAUUAAUGGUGUUUUCUGUUGAAUCUGUUUCUCAUUACUCUUCAUUAUACUUUAACCUUUUCUCAUUCAUCUCAUCCAUUCAAUCAUGGACAUCGUGAGGGUCAUCAUCAUAAUCAUCGCCACAAAUUUUAAUCUAUUUUGUUCAAACAAAAAGACUAAAGGAAAUAUAAUCACCAACCAUUCCAACGAAUUAUUCUGACCUCUAACCGUUGCACGUUCAAAAAAUGAAACAACGCAAACUAAUAUUAGAUUCAAGUAAAGUCAAGGAUAAUCAAAAAAUCAAAGGAAAUGAAUCAAAUAAUAAUAAUAAUGAUUAUUAUGAUGACGUUGAUGAUGAUGGCUACUAUGAGAUGAAAUUACGAGAUGAGAAAAAAAAAUAUCUUCAAUUCUAAUUUAAAUCAACUGGAUUCUGAUGGAAACAUUAUCAUGAUAGAGUUUCUCUCUUUCUCAUUUCAUUUUCCUCAUUUCAUAUAAAUACACUUCUCCAGUAUCAUUAUCAUCACUUGCAAUAAUCAUCAUCAUCAACAACAUCAUGAUAUAAAGCAAUUGAGCAGCCUUUCCAAAUUGAGAUGGAUGAUGAGGAAGAUGGGAGACGAUGAAAUGUUAACUGUAAGCUGAUUGAAUUUGAUUGUUCUGUCAGCUUCCCAGUUUAAUCAA
Tetranychus urticae (two-spotted spider mite) is the source of this 1187-nucleotide non-coding RNA. NCBI's taxonomy places the organism in Eukaryota, Metazoa, Arthropoda, Arachnida, Trombidiformes, Tetranychidae. The record is from RefSeq and is a predicted model, not a curated record.